Molecule: ribosomal RNA, 1160 nt
Filed under: Staphylococcus aureus subsp. aureus SA8601
Lineage: Bacteria; Bacillati; Bacillota; Bacilli; Caryophanales; Staphylococcaceae
Description: bacterial SSU rRNA
Rfam family: Bacterial small subunit ribosomal RNA
Source: RNAcentral
AGAGUUUGAUCCUGGCUCAGGAUGAACGCUGGCGGCGUGCCUAAUACAUGCAAGUCGAGCGAACGGACGAGAAGCUUGCUUCUCUGAUGUUAGCGGCGGACGGGUGAGUAACACGUGGAUAACCUACCUAUAAGACUGGGAUAACUUCGGGAAACCGGAGCUAAUACCGGAUAAUAUUUUGAACCGCAUGGUUCAAAAGUAAAAGACGGUCUUGCUGUCACUUAUAGAUGGAUCCGCGCUGCAUUAGCUAGUUGGUAAGGUAACGGCUUACCAAGGCAACGAUGCAUAGCCGACCUGAGAGGGUGAUCGGCCACACUGGAACUGAGACACGGUCCAGACUCCUACGGGAGGCAGCAGUAGGGAAUCUUCCGCAAUGGGCGAAAGCCUGACGGAGCAACGCCGCGUGAGUGAUGAAGGUCUUCGGAUCGUAAAACUCUGUUAUUAGGGAAGAACAUAUGUGUAAGUAACUGUGCACAUCUUGACGGUACCUAAUCAGAAAGCCACGGCUAACUACGUGCCAGCAGCCGCGGUAAUACGUAGGUGGCAAGCGUUAUCCGGAAUUAUUGGGCGUAAAGCGCGCGUAGGCGGUUUUUUAAGUCUGAUGUGAAAGCCCACGGCUCAACCGUGGAGGGUCAUUGGAAACUGGAAAACUUGAGUGCAGAAGAGGAAAGUGGAAUUCCAUGUGUAGCGGUGAAAUGCGCAGAGAUAUGGAGGAACACCAGUGGCGAAGGCGACUUUCUGGUCUGUAACUGACGCUGAUGUGGAAAGCGUGGGGAUCAAACAGGAUUAGAUACCCUGGUAGUCCACGCCGUAAACGAUGAGUGCUAAGUGUUAGGGGGUUUCCGCCCCUUAGUGCUGCAGCUAACGCAUUAAGCACUCCGCCUGGGGAGUACGACCGCAAGGUUGAAACUCAAAGGAAUUGACGGGGACCCGCACAAGCGGUGGAGCAUGUGGUUUAAUUCGAAGCAACGCGAAGAACCUUACCAAAUCUUGACAUCCUUUGACAACUCUAGAGAUAGAGCCUUCCCCUUCGGGGGACAAAGUGACAGGUGGUGCAUGGUUGUCGUCAGCUCGUGUCGUGAGAUGUUGGGUUAAGUCCCGCAACGAGCGCAACAAUGCCACAUCAUAGCACUACAUCAAGACGCAUCGUGGUACCAGCA